RNAcentral lists this long non-coding RNA (108 nucleotides) under Polistes fuscatus (common paper wasp). Its description in RNAcentral is "uncharacterized LOC122522390". Lineage: Eukaryota; Metazoa; Arthropoda; Insecta; Hymenoptera; Vespidae. The record is from RNAcentral.
ACAAGGAACAAGCAAGACAUGUGUCUGUUAAAAGGUUUUCAAUUAUUUUACUGCAAGAGAGAGCAUAUAACUUUCCACAACGAUAAAAAGAAGCUGACAACACUGCAA